Molecule: long non-coding RNA, 658 nt
Organism: Arachis duranensis
Lineage: Eukaryota; Viridiplantae; Streptophyta; Magnoliopsida; Fabales; Fabaceae
Exons: 2
Source: RefSeq, a predicted model, not a curated record
UGUGAUGAACAGCAACGCUGAGGGUAGUCUUCUCUGUUCUCUUUCUCUCUUCUGAUUUUCUGAAAGUGAGAUCUCAAAUCUGAAUCCCUAAUGCGAUAAUGCCUUCGCCCUUCCCAUUUCACAGUUCAGCUUCACCAAUCACCAUUCUCAUCGUUCAUCAAGGUUCAGACUUCAGAGAGAAGGAGAGAACGCCAUCACCCAUCACGAUCUCACCGGCGCACACGGCCACACGGCAGUGAGCUCCGUCACGCAGUGAGCUCCGUCACCACUCGAGUCGGCGUCGUUGUAUGUCUCCCACUCUCCCACUCUCCGUCACCAUUCGACUCGGCGUUGAAGUCUGAAGGUUCCUUUCGAGCUUUGAGAGAAAGCCUUCGAGUUCUAGAGCAAGGAAAUCAUGAAGAUGAUGCUAUUGUUUGAGGUCUUGGGAGUGCUGUUGAUGAUGGUAGUAUAUUUUUCUUAUGCAGAAGACAGUGAUUCAAGCCACUAUCAUUUCUAAUGUUUUUUACUUCAUUCCUUAACUGCAAAAUUUGGUUUCUGAUACUUUUUAAUGCUAAAUUUGAUUGAUUCUGUGGAUAUUUAGACACCCUUUUAUUUAUGAUUCAUGGAAUUGAGAAUUGGAUUGUUUGAUACUGCUCUAUCUAUAUACUUAUUUUGUCUU